Molecule: ribosomal RNA, 465 nt
Filed under: Vreelandella stevensii
Lineage: Bacteria; Pseudomonadati; Pseudomonadota; Gammaproteobacteria; Oceanospirillales; Halomonadaceae
Description: partial 16S ribosomal RNA
Rfam family: Bacterial small subunit ribosomal RNA
Source: RNAcentral
CCUACGGGGGGCAGCAGUGGGGAAUAUUGGACAAUGGGGGGAACCCUGAUCCAGCCAUGCCGCGUGUGUGAAGAAGGCCCUCGGGUUGUAAAGCACUUUCAGUGAGGAAGAACGCCUGGUGGUUAAUACCCAUCAGGAAAGACAUCACUCACAGAAGAAGCACCGGCUAACUCCGUGCCAGCAGCCGCGGUAAUACGGAGGGUGCGAGCGUUAAUCGGAAUUACUGGGCGUAAAGCGCGCGUAGGUGGCUUGAUGAGCCGGUUGUGAAAGCCCCGGGCUCAACCUGGGAACGGCAUCCGGAACUGUCAAGCUAGAGUGCAGGAGAGGAAGGUAGAAUUCCCGGUGUAGCGGUGAAAUGCGUAGAGAUCGGGAGGAAUACCAGUGGCGAAGGCGGCCUUCUGGACUGACACUGACACUGAGGUGCGAAAGCGUGGGUAGCAAACAGGAUUAGAUACCCUUGUAGUC